UACGUAGGUGGCGAGCGUUGUCCGGAUUUAUUGGGCGUAAAGCGAGCGCAGGUGGUUUAUUAAGUCUGGUGUAAAAGGCAGUGGCUCAACCAUUGUAUGCAUUGGAAACUGGUAGACUUGAGUGCAGGAGAGGAGAGUGGAAUUCCAUGUGUAGCGGUGAAAUGCGUAGAUAUAUGGAGGAACACCGGUGGCGAAAGCGGCUCUCUGGCCUGUAACUGACACUGAGGCUCGAAAGCGUGGGGAGCAAAUAGG
This 252-nucleotide ribosomal RNA is filed under the name uncultured bacterium. RNAcentral's name for it is "partial 16S ribosomal RNA". It matches the Rfam family "Bacterial small subunit ribosomal RNA", at positions 524 to 776 of the family's 1533-position model. The record is from RNAcentral.